CAGUCGCCGCGGUAACACGGAGGGAGCUAGCGUUGUUCGGAAUUACUGGGCGUAAAGCGCGCGUAGGCGGUUACUCAAGUCAGAGGUGAAAGCCCGGGGCUCAACCCCGGAACUGUCUUUGAAACUAGGUGACUAGAAUCUUGGAGAGGUCAGUGGAAUUCCGAGUGUAGAGGUGAAAUUCGUAGAUAUUCGGAAGAACACCAGUGGCGAAGGCGACUGACUGGACAAGUAUUGACGCUGAGGUGCGAAAGCGUGGGGAGCAAACAGGAUUAGAUACCCCAGUAGUCCCUGUCUCUUAUAC
RNAcentral lists this ribosomal RNA (301 nucleotides) under uncultured bacterium. RNAcentral's name for it is "partial 16S ribosomal RNA". It matches the Rfam family "Bacterial small subunit ribosomal RNA", at positions 509 to 807 of the family's 1533-position model. The record is from RNAcentral.